AGAGUUUGAUCCUGGCUCAGAUUGAACGCUGGCGGCAUGCCUAACACAUGCAAGUCGAACGGUAACGAUGGGAGCUUGCUCCCAGGCGACGAGUGGCGGACGGGUGAGUAAUGCUUGGGAAUUUGCCUAGUAGUGGGGGACAACACGGGGAAACUCGUGCUAAUACCGCAUACGCCCUACGGGGGAAAGCGGGGGAUCUUCGGACCUCGCGCUAUUAGAUGAGCCCAAGUCGGAUUAGCUUGUUGGUGAGGUAAAGGCUCACCAAGGCCGCGAUCCGUAGCUGGUCUGAGAGGACGAUCAGCCACACUGGGACUGAGACACGGCCCAGACUCCUACGGGAGGCAGCAGUGGGGAAUAUUGCACAAUGGGUGCAAGCCUGAUGCAGCAAUGCCGCGUGUGUGAAGAAGGCCUGCGGGUUGUAAAGCACUUUCAGUAGUGAAGAAAAGUUCAAGGUUAAUACCCUUGGACCGUGACAUUACCUACAGAAGAAGCACCGGCUAACUCCGUGCCAGCAGCCGCGGUAAUACGGAGGGUGCGAGCGUUAAUCGGAAUUACUGGGCGUAAAGCGCGCGUAGGCGGCUAUGUCAGUCGGAUGUGAAAGCCCCGGGCUUAACCUGGGAACUGCAUUCGAUACUGCAUGGCUAGAGUAUGGUAGAGGGAAGCGGAAUUCCGGGUGUAGCGGUGAAAUGCGUAGAUAUCCGGAGGACACCAGUGGCGAAGCGCUCCUGGACAAUACUGACGCUGAGGUGCGAAGCGUGGGGAGCAACGAAUAGAUACCUGGUAGUCCACGCCUAAACGAUGUCAACUAGCCGUUGGUUCACUCCAGGCUUAUGGGCGACCUACGCGAUAAGUUGACGCCUGGGGAGAUGUCGCAGAUUAAACUCAACGAUUGACCGGCGCCCGCACAAGCGGUGGAGCAUGUGGUUUAAUUCGAUGCAACGCGAAGACCUUACCAGGCCUUGACAUCUUCGGAACUUUCUAGAGAUAGAUUGUUGCCU
This 998-nucleotide ribosomal RNA is filed under the name uncultured Pseudomonas sp. Its description in RNAcentral is "bacterial SSU rRNA". It matches the Rfam family "Bacterial small subunit ribosomal RNA", at positions 8 to 1019 of the family's 1533-position model. The record is from RNAcentral. Lineage: Bacteria; Pseudomonadati; Pseudomonadota; Gammaproteobacteria; Pseudomonadales; Pseudomonadaceae.